ACACCUCAACUCUUUAUGGUUUUCCAUGAUGAGCUUGGACUCUGGGGGUUUUGCUGGCUCACAGUCGGCUCCUCUGAAAUGAAUCAGCUUACCAGUGUUUGGUGGGUAUCAUGGGUGUGAUAACUAUCUACGCUUGUGGUUUUUCCACCAGGUGACCUUCAGCAGUGGAGGUUCGCUGGAGCUCAUAGAUGUCUCUCCUCAGUGAGGACAGCCCUUUGAAC
RNAcentral lists this unclassified non-coding RNA (221 nucleotides) under uncultured Tomentella. RNAcentral's name for it is "sequence contains ITS2". Lineage: Eukaryota; Fungi; Basidiomycota; Agaricomycetes; Thelephorales; Thelephoraceae. The record is from RNAcentral.